RNAcentral lists this ribosomal RNA (119 nucleotides) under Pteropus alecto (black flying fox). Lineage: Eukaryota; Metazoa; Chordata; Mammalia; Chiroptera; Pteropodidae. The record is from RNAcentral.
UUCUACGGCCAUGCCACCCUAAACAAGCCUGAUCCCAUCUGAUCUUGGAAGCUAAGCAGGGUCGGGCCUGGUUAGUACUUGGAUGGGAGACCACCUAAGGAGACCAAGUGCUGUAGGCA